AGAAACAUAGUUUAAUUUUUAAAAUAGUGGAUUUUUAUUCCAAAGAUGCAAGUGAGAAUCUUGCUGUUUCUG
Molecule: transfer RNA, 72 nt
Filed under: Kordia antarctica
Lineage: Bacteria; Pseudomonadati; Bacteroidota; Flavobacteriia; Flavobacteriales; Flavobacteriaceae
Rfam family: tRNA
About the family: Transfer RNA (tRNA) molecules are approximately 80 nucleotides in length.
Source: Rfam by way of RNAcentral